Non-coding RNA from Mycena epipterygia, 90 nucleotides. Lineage: Eukaryota; Fungi; Basidiomycota; Agaricomycetes; Agaricales; Mycenaceae. The record is from the annotation of a GenBank genome assembly.
GUGCCGUUGGUGUACCGGUAACACACAACCUGUACUUAUAUGUCCACUGAAAGUGAGGUUGGGUCCCGGGUUCGAGCCCCGGACGGCGCA